AUUGAACGCUGGCGGCAGGCCUAACACAUGCAAGUCGAGCGGAUGAAGGGAGCUUGCUCCUGGAUUCAGCGGCGGACGGGUGAGUAAUGCCUAGGAAUCUGCCUGGUAGUGGGGGAUAACGUCCGGAAACGGGCGCUAAUACCGCAUACGUCCUGAGGGAGAAAGUGGGGGAUCUUCGGACCUCACGCUAUCAGAUGAGCCUAGGUCGGAUUAGCUAGUUGGUGGGGUAAAGGCCUACCAAGGCGACGAUCCGUAACUGGUCUGAGAGGAUGAUCAGUCACACUGGAACUGAGACACGGUCUAGACUCCUACGGGAGGCAGCAGUGGGGAAUAUUGGACAAUGGGCGAAAGCCUGAUCCAGCCAUGCCGCGUGUGUUAAGAAGGUCUUCGGAUUGUAAAGCACUUUAAGUUGGGAGGAAGGGCAGUAAGUUAAUACCUUGCUGUUUUGACGUUACCAACAGAAUAAGCACCGGCUAACUUCGUG
Molecule: ribosomal RNA, 484 nt
Filed under: uncultured bacterium
Lineage: Bacteria
Description: partial 16S ribosomal RNA
Rfam family: Bacterial small subunit ribosomal RNA
Source: RNAcentral